AUUGAACGCUGGCGGCAGGCCUAACACAUGCAAGUCGAGCGGAUGACGGGAGCUUGCUUCUUGAUUCAGCGGCGGACGGGUGAGUAAUGCCUAGGAAUCUGCCUGGUAGUGGGGGACAACGUUUCGAAAGGAACGCUAAUACCGCAUACGUCCUACGGGAGAAAGCAGGGGACCUUCGGGCCUUGCGCUAUCAGAUGAGCCUAGGUCGGAUUAGCUAGUUGGUGAGGUAAUGGCUCACCAAGGCGACGAUCCGUAACUGGUCUGAGAGGAUGAUCAGUCACACUGGAACUGAGACACGGUCCAGACUCCUACGGGAGGCAGCAGUGGGGAAUAUUGGACAAUGGGCGAAAGCCUGAUCCAGCCAUGCCGCGCGUGUGAAGAAGGUCUUCGGAUUGUAAAGCACUUUAAGUUGGGAGGAAGGGCAGUAAGUUAAUACCUUGCUGUUUUGACGUUACCGACAGAAUAAGCACCGGCUAACUCUGUGCCAGCAGCCGCAGUAA
Molecule: ribosomal RNA, 500 nt
Filed under: uncultured bacterium
Lineage: Bacteria
Description: partial 16S ribosomal RNA
Rfam family: Bacterial small subunit ribosomal RNA
Source: RNAcentral